GUGGGAACGUGCCCUUCACUACGGAAUAGUCCCGGGAAACUGGGUUUAAUACCGUAUACGCCCUUCGGGGGAAAGAUUUAUCGGUGAAGGAUCGGCCCGCGUCUGAUUAGAUAGUUGGUGGGGUAACGGCCUACCAAGUCUACGAUCAGUAGCUGGUUUGAGAGGAUGAUCAGCAACACUGGGACUGAGACACGGCCCAGACUCCUACGGGAGGCAGCAGUGGGGAAUCUUAGACAAUGGGCGCAAGCCUGAUCUAGCCAUGCCGCGUGAGUGAUGAAGGCCUUAGGGUCGUAAAGCUCUUUCGCCAGGGAUGAUAAUGACAGUACCUGGUAAAGAAACCCCGGCUAACUCCGUGCCAGCAGCCGCGGUAAUACGGAGGGGGUUAGCGUUGUUCGGAAUUACUGGGCGUAAAGCGCGCGUAGGCGGAUUAGUCAGUCAGAGGUGAAAUCCCAGGGCUCAACCCUGGAACUGCCUUUGAUACUGCUAGUCUUGAGUUCGAGAGAGGUGAGUGGAAUUCCGAGUGUAGAGGUGAAAUUCGUAGAUAUUCGGAGGAACACCAGUGGCGAAGGCGGCUCACUGGCUCGAUACUGACGCUGAGGUGCGAAAGUGUGGGGAGCAAACAGGAUUAGAUACCCUGGUAGUCCACACC
RNAcentral lists this ribosomal RNA (649 nucleotides) under Maritimibacter alkaliphilus. Its description in RNAcentral is "bacterial SSU rRNA". It matches the Rfam family "Bacterial small subunit ribosomal RNA", at positions 117 to 801 of the family's 1533-position model. Lineage: Bacteria; Pseudomonadati; Pseudomonadota; Alphaproteobacteria; Rhodobacterales; Roseobacteraceae. The record is from RNAcentral.